ACUGACUUGACAAGAGAAAAAAAUAAUAAAUAAUAAAUCGAAAAUAUCUUCCGCUGAAGGAGCUGCAAAUCAUCCAAGCAAUCACAGUUGUCCAGUGAAAAAAAGAUUAGUACCAGGUUUUGGAGAACCAUAAAAAGAGUGUCGCCUUCCUGUUUUACUCUCGAAAAGUAAGCAUCAAUCAGCUAAAAUCAUUAAUUAUGGACGCUCAGCAACAACUACAUGAUCGUAUCAAACAUUUUAUAUUGAGAAAAAUUGUUGAAAUCGCAUUCAAUCUUUGCGGUGUUGGGAGAGUGCCUUCAGAAUUGGAUGGAGACGACUCAAAUACAGAUAUCUACCAUGUUGACUUCAUCAUUGGAAUUAUAGAGCAAAUGUUGGAGUUGUACAACAUAAAGUUUCAAAAAUUACAAAAUGCAAUGGCAUUCAUUCUGGCAAACGUUGAGGAUAUUACUGCCAGAACUCUUUCUGUCUAUGAAAGCACUUCAGACAAAAAAUAUACCCUGAUCCACAGACAAUACUAAACUAGAGUACAAGACAAAGGUUUAUACAUGGAUUUGAAAGCACAUGAAGAAAUAAUAUAAUGCAAGUAAUUUUUGAUAGAAAUCAACUCAAUACUCAAAAUCAAAUGAAAAUAUGCAUUUUUUGAUUAUAUUUCAUAAUCUUAUGAUAUUUGAUAUUGAGAUACCAUAGUUUUUAGAAGACAUAUCUUAGAAUAUAUUUUAGAUGUACUAUAUUCAUAGUUGUAUAUUAUUAAUUCACUGGUGUUGUUAGGAAAUCCUACUGGUAAAGGAAGAACAAUCAAUCUUUUUGGUUUUUAACCUAUAAUCAUCUAUCCUUUGCUCAGAUUAGCAUAGACCAGCUAUACACCCUUUUAAUAAGUCCCUUAGCUAUUGUGUUCUCUGCAUGUUAAGAGCGUAUGUCAGCAAGCAUCAAACAUAUCAUGGCCACAGUUGAAAAAUCGAUUUCGCUCAAACUUUUAUAUGUGGUAGCCUAAUGUAUGCUUAUUACCACUAUGUAGUUUAUUAGWRAAAAUAACGUUUUGUUUUCGAGAUAUAGAGCCGAGAG
Molecule: long non-coding RNA, 1062 nt
Organism: Exaiptasia diaphana
Lineage: Eukaryota; Metazoa; Cnidaria; Anthozoa; Actiniaria; Aiptasiidae
Exons: 5
Source: RefSeq, a predicted model, not a curated record